CCUACGGGCGGCAGCAGUCGAGAAUCAUUCACAAUGGGGGAAACCCUGAUGGUGCGACGCCGCGUGGGGGAAUGAAGGUCUUCGGAUUGUAAACCCCUGUCAUGUGGGCGCAAAUUAAAAAGAUAGUACCACAAGAGGAAGAGACGGCUAACUCUGUGCCAGCAGCCGCGGUAAUACAGAGGUCUCAAGCGUUGUUCGGAAUCACUGGGCGUAAAGCGUGCGUAGGCGGUUUCGUAAGUCGUGUGUGAAAGGCGCGGGCUCAACCCGCGGACGGCACAUGAUACUGCGAGACUAGAGUGAUGGAGGGGGAACCGGAAUUCUCGGUGUAGCAGUGAAAUGCGUAGAUAUCGAGAGGAACACUCGUGGCGAAGGCGGGUUCCUGGACAUUAACUGACGCUGAGGCACGAAGGCCAGGGGAGCGAAAGGGAUUAGAUACCCGAGUAGUC
RNAcentral lists this ribosomal RNA (446 nucleotides) under uncultured bacterium. RNAcentral describes it as "partial 16S ribosomal RNA". It matches the Rfam family "Bacterial small subunit ribosomal RNA", at positions 338 to 795 of the family's 1533-position model. The record is from RNAcentral.